RNAcentral lists this transfer RNA (71 nucleotides) under Marmota monax (woodchuck). Its description in RNAcentral is "tRNA.Ala". Lineage: Eukaryota; Metazoa; Chordata; Mammalia; Rodentia; Sciuridae. The record is from RNAcentral.
GGGCUGGGGCUCAGUGGUAAGUGCGCUUGCCUAGCAUGUAGGAGGCACUGGGUUCGAUUCUCAGCACCACA